AAAACAGAUUGAACAAUGUUAUGCUGCCCAUGUUGUUCACACUUGUCAACAAUAUUGAACAAUAUUGUUGAGCCUGAAUCGGGUGUAACAGUAUUGUUCAAUAUUGUUGACAACUGUGAACAAUGUGGGCAGCAAAACAUUGUUCAAUCCUGUUUU
Non-coding RNA from Paramuricea clavata, 156 nucleotides. The record is from the annotation of a GenBank genome assembly. NCBI's taxonomy places the organism in Eukaryota, Metazoa, Cnidaria, Anthozoa, Malacalcyonacea, Plexauridae.